Long non-coding RNA from Sinocyclocheilus anshuiensis, 278 nucleotides. RefSeq lists it as uncharacterized. The record is from RefSeq and is a predicted model, not a curated record. The transcript has 3 exons. Lineage: Eukaryota; Metazoa; Chordata; Actinopteri; Cypriniformes; Cyprinidae.
GUGUUGCUCUUAUAGUUGUCAGAGAUUGAUACUGUGUAAAACUUACUCAAGUUACGGCUUAUUGUAGCCUUCCUAAGAAGUAAUUGGCGUUGUUGUUGCGCUACGUGUUUUCUCCGUGUUGGAAGCCGUAGGGAGAGUUUUUGUCCUAACAAGCGCGACACAUGACAGGGGAUUCUAUUUUAGAAACCGUUUCUUUUUCUGUGACAUCGCGGCUGGAACAACACCAUGCAAACUAUGACAACGAUAAUCUCAGUGCACUUACACAGACAGCCCGCCCA